This is an RNA transcript of Brassica oleracea var. oleracea, 1826 nucleotides long. It is a transcript of the gene named argininosuccinate synthase, chloroplastic-like, with no coding region annotated. The record is from RefSeq and is a predicted model, not a curated record. NCBI's taxonomy places the organism in Eukaryota, Viridiplantae, Streptophyta, Magnoliopsida, Brassicales, Brassicaceae. The transcript is spliced from 11 exons.
AUAUAGAAAUGAAAAACAGAUAUGGGGAGUCAAAACCCUAGAGGAGGUGGACCCUGUUGACAAUCUUACCACUUAAAACAAGAGCCACCAAGACCGAACCUCACUGUUAAUAACACACAACGCAGACAGUAAAGCAAAAAACCCAGAAAUAAUUUUCUGACAUGGCUGAAAUCUCGGCGACUUCGUUUCCUUCUUCUUCGUCAGCCUCUCUCGCGCUUCGAAGCUCCCUAAAUGGUAGCUUAAGAUGUCAAAAUGUAGCUUGUCUAAGAACCACUUCUCUGUUUCAAGAGUUAUCUGUGAAACGAAGCCAGCUCUCUGGCAAUGCUGUUGCUACUACCACUACUCAUGUUCCCCUAACCCGCGGCAGCAAGAGUCAAGCAAUUCGAGCUGUUCUCUCCGGUGAUGGACAAACUGUCGUGUCUGCUGAUUCAAAGGAAGCCGGGCUCCGUGGCAAGCUGAAAAAAGUCGUUCUUGCUUACAGUGGAGGCUUAGACACCUCCGUCAUCGUGCCAUGGCUCAAGGAGAACUAUGGCUGUGAAGUUGUGUGUUUCACCGCAGAUGUUGGUCAGGGUAUAAAAGAGUUGGAGGGUUUGGAACAAAAGGCUAAAGCUAGUGGCGCUUCUCAGCUGGUAGUUAAGGAUCUCACGGAGGAGUUUGUGAAAGAUUACAUAUUCCCUUGUCUAAGAGCUGGUGCCAUCUAUGAACGAAAAUACUUGCUCGGUACCUCCAUGGCUCGUCCUGUCAUUGCUAAGGCCAUGGUAGAUGUAGCAGCAGAGGUUGGAGCUGAUGCCGUUGCACAUGGGUGUACUGGCAAAGGAAAUGACCAGGUUCGGUUUGAGCUCACCUUCUUUUCGCUGAACCCUGAACUUAAAGUUGUGGCACCUUGGAGAGAAUGGGAAAUCCAAGGCAGAGAAGACGCUAUUGAGUACGCGAAGAAGCAUAACGUUCCUGUCCCCGUGACAAAGAAAUCUAUUUACAGCCGAGACAGGAACCUCUGGCACCUUAGUCAUGAGGGUGAUAUAUUGGAAGAUCCAGCAAACGAGCCCAAGAAAGAUAUGUACAUGAUGAGUGUAGAUCCCGAAGAUGCCCCUGAUCAGCCUGAAUACAUUGAGAUCGGGAUAGAAUCUGGACUUCCAGUGGCACUCAACGGGAAGGCUCUCUCUCCAGCCACCCUUCUCUCCGAGCUCAACACAAUAGGAGGGAAACACGGCAUUGGCCGGAUCGACAUGGUGGAGAAUCGUCUCGUCGGGAUGAAGUCACGAGGUGUCUAUGAAACACCAGGAGGCACCAUCCUGUUCGCAGCUGUGCAGGAACUAGAGUCCCUCACGUUAGACAGAGAGAGCAUUCAGGUGAAAGACUCGUUAGCUCUGAAGUACGCUGAGAUGGUCUAUGCGGGGAGAUGGUUUGAUCCGCUUAAGGAGUCCAUGGACGCUUUCAUGGAGAAGUUAACUGAGAAAACCACGGGAUCUGUAACACUGAAGCUGUACAAAGGAUCUGUGUCGGUGACAGGGCGUAAGAGUCCGAACAGUCUGUACAGACAGGACAUAUCUUCGUUUGAAGGGAGUGAGAUUUACAACCAAGCUGAUGCAGCUGGGUUCAUUCGUCUUUACGGGUUGCCUAUGAGAGUUAGAGCAAUGCUUGAGAAAGGCAUUUAGAAAAAGGUUUCAUCGUGAGUUUAUUUGAAUGACAUUAGAAGAUCACUUUCCUUGUGUUCAAGAUUUGAUGCGUUUUAGCUUCAGCUUCUGUUUGGAAUAAUUCUGUGUUCUUUCUUCACUUUGUUUUCGUUUUGGAGAAACUCAAUAAAUCGAAUAAUGUGUUACUGUGAA